Molecule: non-coding RNA, 32 nt
Filed under: Rattus norvegicus (Norway rat)
Lineage: Eukaryota; Metazoa; Chordata; Mammalia; Rodentia; Muridae
Source: RNAcentral
UAGCAGUUAGAGAAAAGCACUGGAUGCUAAGC